This is a long non-coding RNA of Epinephelus fuscoguttatus (brown-marbled grouper), 636 nucleotides long. RefSeq lists it as uncharacterized. Lineage: Eukaryota; Metazoa; Chordata; Actinopteri; Perciformes; Serranidae. The record is from RefSeq and is a predicted model, not a curated record. The transcript has 4 exons.
GCAAAAUCAAACCAACAUGGCGGUCGUGAAGCGAGGGGAGUGUAUCGACUGCUGAAGUUAAGAAAACUUGCUGGUCUGUCCCUGUCCGCAAGUCUGUCCUUGUUGGCUGAAAUCUGUCCCCUCCUGUUCCUGUCAGCUGAAGUUGGUACCCAGCACAAGGCAUUCUUAGCAAACAAGGCAAGUCUGUCCUGUCGGCUGAAGUCUGUCCCUAUCGGCUGGUCUGUCACUGUCGGCUGAAAUCUGUGCCUGUCGGCUGAAAUCUGUCCCUGUCGGCUGAAGUCUGUCCCUGUCGGCUGAAGUUGGUACCCAGCACAAGACAUCCUUGGCAAACAAGGAUCAAACACCUGAGACCAGUGAAGAGCACUGAGAGCAGUUAAUGGCACAGAACCUCUAUGGUAAACAUCGAUCUUGAAAGACACUGAAGACGACUUUUGUUUGAGUAAUGGAGUGGAAGUGCAAAUUGUGUAUUGUGUCUGCAGACACCCGGGCACAGUUAUUCCGGCACUAUCGCUUGAAACACAGCCAUUAUUCUAGAGUUAGCCCUCUACCAUGUCUCCAUGACUCUUGUAUUUGUACAUUUCUGUCCUUUAAUGCCUUGAAAAUUCAUCUGUCACGGUUUCACAGAGAUGUGUGUAG